RNAcentral lists this ribosomal RNA (497 nucleotides) under uncultured bacterium. RNAcentral's name for it is "partial 16S ribosomal RNA". It matches the Rfam family "Bacterial small subunit ribosomal RNA", at positions 28 to 507 of the family's 1533-position model. The record is from RNAcentral.
GAUGAACGCUGGCGGCGUGCCUAAUACAUGCAAGUCGAGCGAACAGACGAGGAGCUUGCUCCUCUGACGUUAGCGGCGGACGGGUGAGUAACACGUGGAUAACCUACCUAUAAGACUGGGAUAACUUCGGGAAACCGGAGCUAAUACCGGAUAACAUGUUGAACCGCAUGGUUCAACAGUGAAAGACGGUCUUGCUGUCACUUAUAGAUGGAUCCGCGCCGCAUUAGCUAGUUGGUAAGGUAACGGCUUACCAAGGCAACGAUGCGUGGCCGACCUGAGAGGGUGAUCGGCCACACUGGAACUGAGACACGGUCCAGACUCCUACGGGAGGCAGCAGUAGGGAAUCUUCCGCAAUGGGCGAAAGCCUGACGGAGCAACGCCGCGUGAGUGAAGAAGGUCUUCGGAUCGUAAAACUCUGUUAUUAGGGAAGAACAAAUGUGUAAGUAACUAUGCACGUCUUGACGGUACCUAAUCAGAAAGCCACGGCUAACUACGUG